UGCCAAUCACAUUUUCAUUAUUUCCUCACCAAUACUGGCAGUGGUAAUUCCUUGUACACUAAUGCAUCUUUUCCAUCCAGUUAGAUACAACUUAUGUGAAAUAAACUGCCAAGAGUCUCCUUGGAGCAUGGCUUCCUGCUUUAAGGAUUGUUCAGGGCAGCUGAUCUCCCUUCCAAGAUGGAAAUAUUGCUCUGGAAAAAAGUCUUUCAGGCCUCUUCUAGACUCAGGUCUUCCAUUUUCAAGAAGGAAUCCAUAUUUGAAGUUGUUCAUUGAAGCUUAAAUUUUGAUGAAGAUAUUAAAGAGACAUUUUCGUGGAAGCAAAUACUUUUUGAUCAACUGUGUCUUUGAGGUUUCACUUACUUGUCACCAUCUCUGGUUUUUUUCCCCAAGAAUUACAGGAGGAAAACCUUACAUAGUACCAGCUACAAAUAACGAUGAUCUACAAAAAUAAAAGAUUCAGAAUACUUUUUCA
Molecule: long non-coding RNA, 472 nt
Filed under: Junco hyemalis (dark-eyed junco)
Lineage: Eukaryota; Metazoa; Chordata; Aves; Passeriformes; Passerellidae
Description: lncRNA (ENSJHYG00000001644.1)
Source: RNAcentral